AUACAGCUGCGUUGUACGUGUUUUUUUAAUUAAGUUUUAACCUUUAAGCUGUAACAGGGAGUUUAACAUUAAGACGGGAUUGACAGGCCUCUGCCCAUGCGGCAAGGAGGACAGACAUGAACGUUUUUGCGAACACCCACUUUGAGGAGUGGUGGUUUAAAACUUUCUUAUUUUUUGACAAUACGGCAAAGGCGGCAUGAAA
Non-coding RNA from Domibacillus enclensis, 202 nucleotides. NCBI's taxonomy places the organism in Bacteria, Bacillati, Bacillota, Bacilli, Caryophanales, Bacillaceae. The record is from Rfam.